Molecule: transfer RNA, 72 nt
Filed under: Toxocara canis (dog roundworm)
Lineage: Eukaryota; Metazoa; Nematoda; Chromadorea; Rhabditida; Toxocaridae
Rfam family: tRNA
About the family: Transfer RNA (tRNA) molecules are approximately 80 nucleotides in length. Their secondary structure includes four short double-helical elements and three loops (D, anti-codon, and T loops). Further hydrogen bonds mediate the characteristic L-shaped molecular structure. tRNAs have two regions of fundamental functional importance: the anti-codon, which is responsible for specific mRNA codon recognition, and the 3' end, to which the tRNAs corresponding amino acid is attached (by aminoacyl-tRNA synthetases). tRNAs cope with the degeneracy of the genetic code in two manners: having more than one tRNA (with a specific anti-codon) for a particular amino acid; and 'wobble' base-pairing, i.e. permitting non-standard base-pairing at the 3rd anti-codon position.
Source: Rfam by way of RNAcentral
UGAGCAGCAGUUCAGUGGUAGAGCUCCCGCUUCGUAUGUGGGAAAACCUGGGUGCGAUUCCCGACUGCUUAC